Molecule: ribosomal RNA, 1365 nt
Filed under: uncultured bacterium
Lineage: Bacteria
Description: bacterial SSU rRNA
Rfam family: Bacterial small subunit ribosomal RNA
Source: RNAcentral
GACGAACGCUGGCGGCGUGCCUAAUACAUGCAAGUAGAACGCUGAAGGAGGAGCUUGCUUCUCUGGAUGAGUUGCGAACGGGUGAGUAACGCGUAGGUAACCUGCCUGGUAGCGGGGGAUAACUAUUGGAAACGAUAGCUAAUACCGCAUAAUAGCAGUUGCUGCAUGACAACUGUUUGAAAGGUGCAAUUGCACCACUACCAGAUGGACCUGCGUUGUAUUAGCUAGUUGGUGGGGUAACGGCUCACCAAGGCGACGAUACAUAGCCGACCUGAGAGGGUGAUCGGCCACACUGGGACUGAGACACGGCCCAGACUCCUACGGGAGGCAGCAGUAGGGAAUCUUCGGCAAUGGACGGAAGUCUGACCGAGCAACGCCGCGUGAGUGAAGAAGGUUUUCGGAUCGUAAAGCUCUGUUGUAAGAGAAGAACGAGUGUGAGAGUGGAAAGUUCACACUGUGACGGUAUCUUACCAGAAAGGGACGGCUAACUACGUGCCAGCAGCCGCGGUAAUACGUAGGUCCCGAGCGUUGUCCGGAUUUAUUGGGCGUAAAGCGAGCGCGGCGGUUAGAUAAGUCUGAAGUUAAGGCUGUGGCUUAACCAUAGUACGCUUUGGAAACUGUUUAACUUGAGUGCAAGAGGGGAGAGUGGAAUUCCAUGUGUAGCGGUGAAAUGCGUAGAUAUAUGGAGGAACACCGGUGGCGAAAGCGGCUCUCUGGCUUGUAACUGACGCUGAGGCUCGAAAGCGUAGGGAGCAAACAGGAUUAGAUACCCUGGUAGUCCACGCCGUAAACGAUGAGUGCUAGGUGUUAGACCCUUUCCGGGGUUUAGUGCCGUAGCUAACGCAUUAAGCACUCCGCCUGGGGAGUACGACCGCAAGGUUGAAACUCAAAGGAAUUGACGGGGGCCCGCACAAGCGGUGGAGCACGUGGUUUAAUUCGAAGCAACGCGAAGAACCUUACCAGGUCUUGACAUCCCUCUGACCGUUCUAGAGAUAGAGCUUUCCUUCGGGACAGAGGUGACAGGUGGUGCAUGGUUGUCGUCAGCUCGUGUCGUGAGAUGUUGGGUUAAGUCCCGCAACGAGCGCAACCCCUAUUGUUAGUUGCCAUCAUUUAGUUGGGCACUCUAGCGAGACUGCCGGUAAUAAACCGGAGGAAGGUGGGGAUGACGUCAAAUCAUCAUGCCCCUUAUGACCUGGGCUACACACGUGCUACAAUGGCUGGUACAACGAGUCGCAAGUCGGUGACGACAAGCUAAUCUCUUAAAGCCAGUCUCAGUUCGGAUUGUAGGCUGCAACUCGCCUACAUGAAGUCGGAAUCGCUAGUAAUCGCGGAUCAGCACGCCGCGGUGAAUACGUUCCCGGGCCU